Molecule: ribosomal RNA, 465 nt
Filed under: uncultured bacterium
Lineage: Bacteria
Description: partial 16S ribosomal RNA
Rfam family: Bacterial small subunit ribosomal RNA
Source: RNAcentral
GACGAACGCUGGCGGCGUGCUUAACACAUGCAAGUCGAACGGAAAGGCCCCUUUGGGGGUACUCGAGUGGCGAACGGGUGAGUAACACGUGAGUAACCUGCCCUUGACUUCGGGAUAACUUCAGGAAACUGGGGCUAAUCCCGGAUAGGAAUCCUUGCUGCAUGGUGGGGGUUGGAAAGCUUCGGCGGUUUUGGAUGGACUCGCGGCUUAUCAGCUUGUUGGUGGGGUAGUGGCUUACCAAGGCUUUGACGGGUAGCCGGCCUGAGAGGGCGACCGGCCACAUUGGGACUGAGAUACGGCCCAGACUCCUACGGGAGGCAGCAGUGGGGAAUAUUGCACAAUGGGCGGAAGCCUGAUGCAGCAACGCCGCGGGCGGGAUGACGGCCUUCGGGUUGUAAACCGCUUUCAGCAGGGGCGAAGCUUGUGGUGACGGUACCUGCAGAAGAAGCACCGGCUAACUACGUG